AGCGAACGCUGGCGGCAGGCCUAACACAUGCAAGUCGAACGAACCUUUCGGGGUUAGUGGCGGACGGGUGAGUAACACGUGGGAACGUGCCUUUAGGUUCGGAAUAACUCAGGGAAACUUGUGCUAAUACCGAAUGUGCCCUUCGGGGGAAAGAUUAAUCGCCUUUAGAGCGGCCCGCGUCUGAUUAGCUAGUUGGUUGAGGAAAUGGCUCACCAAGGCGACGAUCAGUAGCUGGUCUGAGAGGAUGAUCAGCCACAUUGGGACUGAGACACGGCCCAAACUCCUACGGGAGGCAGCAGUGGGGAAUCUUGCGCAAUGGGCGAAAGCCUGACGCAGCCAUGCCGCGUGAAUGAUGAAGGUCUUAGGAUUGUAAAAUUCUUUCACCGGGGACGAUAAUGACGGUACCCGGAGAAGAAGCCCCGGCUAACUUCGUG
This 434-nucleotide ribosomal RNA is filed under the name uncultured bacterium. RNAcentral describes it as "partial 16S ribosomal RNA". It matches the Rfam family "Bacterial small subunit ribosomal RNA", at positions 29 to 507 of the family's 1533-position model. The record is from RNAcentral.